AAGAAAUCAUAAACUGGUCCCAAAUCCCUAUUCAUUGUUUGUCGGGCCUUGAGCGCCAAAGAGGAGUGGCAAACGAAAUAGAGUACCAAAAUAUUGAAAGCUUAAAAAACUUUUUUUUCCUGAAAACACAGGUGCCAAACGAAAUAUAAUAAAACCAAAACAUUGUAGAAAAUUAUAAUCACUUCUUUGUUUCACUGAAACACCAACAUGUCUUCGCAUCUCAAAGCCCUAAUCUCCAGUAUACCCAGGUAUGCUCAAGUGCUUUGGCCAUUUUCCUUGCUACUUUUGGUGCUUUCUCUUGGGGCGUGUACCAAGUCAGCAUCAGAAAUAAGAAGCGUGGACGGGAGAUAAAUUUUUUAGAUCUUGGUCUAUUUGUAUAGUGAUGUGCAACGUGAAUUUUGAGCUACGCUACGGGGGAUUUAGGUAGUGUUAGCAGCAUUUAUCUUAGCAUGAAGAUUUGAAGAUGUACAUGACACAAAUUAUUCUUCGUAUUUAAUCCAAGUUAGCACUCUUUUGUUUUGAGCUUGGGCCGUGGCUCAGCAUGGCCACUUGUAGACUACUAUUUGAAGAUUGAUAGAAAAGUGAAUUUUAUGAUAGCAAAAUCUGGUAAACGGUUUAGUGAUAUAAAAGUGUUCUAUAAAAAAUGUAAUUGAUCCAAUCUUUCAGGAUCCUUACAUGUUUGAAUAAUGGAAAAUUCAAUCAGCAUUCUCCCAAUAUCCUAAUUUAGGAGUCUUAAUUUUUUUGCCCAUAACUAUUAUUGUGAGAGUUAUUUUCUUUCGGCAAUUACUGUACUUGAAAGGUGGCAGUUCUUCAAAUGCUGAAUUAUCGUCCGAGCUACGUUCGUGUCGAGAGGAAAAUAAAUCUUUGAAGGAUAGCUUGUUACCUUAGAAGAUGAUAUGGAAUAAUUUAAGCAAUCCAAAGCAUUUGUAUUAGCUAAUACUCUGAUGUCUAGCCUUUGAUACCGCCUGAACAUAUCGACUCUUUUAUGUUGCUAUAAUAUUUUUCAAGUACAUGAUAACACCUGCUGAUUUACGCUUCUUAUGGGGAUUUGAAGAUUGAAGUUGCAAGUUAAGAUGUAUUGAAGACAUGCAAGCUGACUUUUGAAGACAGAAUAUUGUGACUUACCACUAGAUGUUAAACAUUGUUUUUUGUGAUUAAUUACAAUAUAUAUAUAUAUAUAUAUAUAUAUAUAUAUAUUAGAGCAUGAGUUUUCUUUAUAUUCGUCUUUAUAUUAAAUAAUAAAAAUUAGA
This is an RNA transcript of Lycium barbarum (goji berry), 1250 nucleotides long. RefSeq lists it as uncharacterized. Lineage: Eukaryota; Viridiplantae; Streptophyta; Magnoliopsida; Solanales; Solanaceae. The record is from RefSeq and is a predicted model, not a curated record. The transcript is spliced from 5 exons.